GUGGGGAAUAUUGGACAAUGGGCGCAAGCCUGAUCCAGCCAUGCCGCGUGAGUGAUGAAGGCCCUAGGGUUGUAAAGCUCUUUCACCGGUGAAGAUAAUGACGGUAACCGGAGAAGAAGCCCCGGCUAACUUCGUGCCAGCAGCCGCGGUAAUACGAAGGGGGCUAGCGUUGUUCGGAAUUACUGGGCGUAAAGCGCACGUAGGCGGACAUUUAAGUCAGGGGUGAAAUCCCGGGGCUCAACCCCGGAACUGCCUUUGAUACUGGGUGUCUGGAGUAUGGAAGAGGUAAGUGGAAUUCCGAGUGUAGAGGUGAAAUUCGUAGAUAUUCGGAGGAACACCAGUGGCGAAGGCGGCUCACUGGCUCGAUACUGACGCUGAGGUGCGAAAGCGUGGGGAGCAAACAGGAUUAGAAACCCGUGUAGUCC
This 425-nucleotide ribosomal RNA is filed under the name uncultured bacterium. RNAcentral describes it as "partial 16S ribosomal RNA". It matches the Rfam family "Bacterial small subunit ribosomal RNA", at positions 354 to 796 of the family's 1533-position model. The record is from RNAcentral.